This 777-nucleotide ribosomal RNA is filed under the name uncultured Neocallimastigales. RNAcentral describes it as "partial large subunit ribosomal RNA". It matches the Rfam family "Eukaryotic large subunit ribosomal RNA", at positions 23 to 616 of the family's 3401-position model. The record is from RNAcentral. Lineage: Eukaryota; Fungi; Neocallimastigomycota; Neocallimastigomycetes; Neocallimastigales.
GAGAGAGAGACAUGCGCGCAUAUCAAUAAGCGGAGGAAAAGAAACUAACAAGGAUUCCCUUAGUAACGGCGAGUGAAGCGGGAAGAGCUCAAAUUUGAAGUCUUCAAGGGUUUACCUUUACGAAUUGUAGUUUAAAGAAGUGUUUUCUGUUGAGGUUUCGGUAAAAGUUCUUUGGAAUAGGACAUCAUAGAGGGUGAGAAUCCCGUAUUUGACCUUUACUUUCAACUUUGUGAUACACUUUCAAAGAGUCGGAUUGUUUGGGAAUGCAGUCCAAAAUGGGUGGUAAAUUUCAUCUAAAGCUAAAUAUUGGCGAGAGGACCGAUAGCGAACAAGUACCGUGAGGGAAAGAUGAAAAGAACUUUGAAAAGAGAGUUAAACAGUACGUGAAAUUGUCAAAAGGGAAGCGUUUGACACCAGUGUUGUUUUUCUGAAAAUCAAUUAAAGAACUGUUUAUGCUAAGCUGUUUAGACUUUAUCAGCUAACUGUUUAGUUUUGAGCUUUUCUUUAAUGCACUUUUCAGUUAACAAGUCAACAUCCAAUUUCUUUUGCUGUAAAAAAGCUUGAGGAAGGUGGCUUGAGAUUCGUCUUAAGUGUUUAUAGCCUCUUGCCUAUGCAGUCGGAGAGAUUGAGGUCUGCAGCGUAGAUCCUUCGGGGCUAAAUGCAUUUGUGCUAAGUUAUAGCAUUUUAUAGACAACUUGUUGACUAUGAUUUGUCUUGUAGCUUACUCGCUUAUGUUAUUUUACCUACGCUUAGGAUGUUGAGCGCAUGUCUCUCUCU